Nicotiana sylvestris (wood tobacco) is the source of this 117-nucleotide non-coding RNA. The record is from Rfam. NCBI's taxonomy places the organism in Eukaryota, Viridiplantae, Streptophyta, Magnoliopsida, Solanales, Solanaceae.
AGCCACGCAGUGAGCACAGAGCGAACUAUUCUUUCGCCUUUUACUAAAGAAUACCGUGUGCGCAUUGCAAUUAGUGGCAUACGCUAAUUUUUGGAGGGAUUUCUUUAAUGGAAAUCC